This 497-nucleotide ribosomal RNA is filed under the name uncultured bacterium. Its description in RNAcentral is "partial 16S ribosomal RNA". It matches the Rfam family "Bacterial small subunit ribosomal RNA", at positions 28 to 507 of the family's 1533-position model. The record is from RNAcentral.
GAUGAACGCUGGCGGCGUGCCUAAUACAUGCCAGUCGAGCGAACAGACGUGGAGCUUGCUCCUCUGAUGUUAGCGGCGGACGGGUGAGUAACACGUGGAUAACCUACCUAUAAGACUGGGCUAACUUCGGGAAACCGGAGCUAAUACCGGAUAACAUGUUGAACCGCAUGGUUCAACAGUGAAAGACGGUCUUGCUGUCACUUCUAGAUGGAUCCGCGCCGCAUUAGCUAGUUGGUAAGGUAACGGCUUACCAAGGCAACGAUGCGUAGCCGACCUGCGAGGGUGAUCGGCCACACUGGAAGUGAGACAGGGUGCAGACACCGACGGUAGGCAGCAGUAGGGAAUCUUCCGCGAUGGACGAAAGCCUGACGGAGCAACGCCGCGUGAGUGAAGAAGGUCUUCGGAUCGUAAAACGCUGUUAUUAGUGAAGAACAAAUGUGUAAGUAACUAUGCACGUCUUGACGGUACCUAAUCAGAAAGCCACGGCUAACUACGUG